UACGAUUUGGAGGUGUUCCAAAAGAAGCGGACCAACACGAUGUCCGGCAACAGUAAUCCAAGAUGGUGAUACAUACCAACCAGGCUUAAAGAACCAUCUUCACCCAGCAGAACCCGGUAUACACACGGCUACCAAGAUAAAAGUUACAGCAAAGCAUGAAGCCAAAGGAAAUGUUUUUACCAAGUCAUGUUCCUCAAUAGCGGAGAGAGUUUUAUACAGUGUCGGUUCUGCAGAAGAACCCAUUCAUAGCAGACCACCCAUGGCAGCACUUGUAAGGUCGCUACAAAGAACCCGACAGACUCUGCGACCAAAAGAUCCCACUGACGUGUCGUCAAGCCUUGACGAAGAUUUCAUCGAUCAUAGUGCACCGGGAUUUUAUCAAAAAAGAGUAAAAGUUGGGGAAAGGCGCCAUCACAUUUUUUGUACUGAUAGACAGAUGCAACUACUCGCACGCGCAAAAACUUGGUAUAUGGAUGCAACUUUUCGGGUGGUGAACAAGCCAUGGUCUCUGCUGUUUUCCAUCCACGCCUUCAUUAAGACUGGAGAGACCACCCGACAGUUACCAUUGGUGUUUUGUGUAAUGUCGGGUAAAAGCCAAGACGACUAUUAUAAGUCAAUGAUGAUAUGUGACUCUUUCCACCUUCCAGCAAUAAUUAUUGAGAAUUUACCAAGGACUCCAUUGGCAUUGAAUCGAAGAAAAACAGUUUCAAUAUUGGAUGUAUAUGCAAAUCACCCAGAAAAAGAUCAUGUAAUAACAAAAGAAAUUAUAAAAGAAAAAAAUGGAAGAAGAAAUGGCUGGAAAAAAUGAUGAUAGAGCAGCUUUUUCUAGUUACCCACCUCGGAAGA
Molecule: long non-coding RNA, 846 nt
Organism: Patella vulgata (common limpet)
Lineage: Eukaryota; Metazoa; Mollusca; Gastropoda; Patellidae
Exons: 6
Source: RefSeq, a predicted model, not a curated record